This 28-nucleotide small RNA is filed under the name Bombyx mori (domestic silkworm). Its description in RNAcentral is "piRNA piR-bmo-1756923". The record is from RNAcentral. Lineage: Eukaryota; Metazoa; Arthropoda; Insecta; Lepidoptera; Bombycidae.
UGACAUUAUGUGAGUACGCGACGCCUUG